Molecule: ribosomal RNA, 496 nt
Filed under: uncultured bacterium
Lineage: Bacteria
Description: partial 16S ribosomal RNA
Rfam family: Bacterial small subunit ribosomal RNA
Source: RNAcentral
GACGAACGCUGGCGGCGUGCUUAACACAUGCAAGUCGAGCGAUGAAAUCCCUUCGGGGAUGGAUUAGCGGCGGACGGGUGAGUAACACGUGGGCAACCUGCCUUAUAGAGAGGAAUAGCCAUCCGAAAGGAUGAUUAAUACCCCAUAACAUAGAGUAUAGGCAUCUAUAUUUUAUCAACGUUCCGACGGUAUCGGAUGGGCAUGCGGUUGAUUAGCUAGUUGGUGAGGUAACGGCUCACCAAGGCGACGAUCAAUAGGGGGUCUGAGAGGAUGUCCCCCCACACUGGUACUGAGACACGGACCAGACUCCUACGGGAGGCAGCAGUAGGGAAUAUUGGUCAAUGGGGGCAACCCUGAACCAGCCAUGCCGCGUGCAGGAAGACUGCCCUAUGGGUUGUAAACUGCUUUUGUACGGGAAGAAAUGUCACUAUGCGUAGUGAUUUGACGGUACCGUAAGAAUAAGGAUCGGCUAACUUCGUGCCAGCCGCCGCGGUAA